GUUGCCCUAUCUGUUCGAAGCAGCUUGGUAGGAUAGGGCGGUGCCAUCGAUGACUCAGGCGGCGGCGGCGGCUGAGUGGUCGGCGAGGAUGGCCGCUCGGGCGAGGAGGCGGAGCCGAUGACCCCGGCGGCGGCGGCGGAGGGGUCCCAGGGGCUGGAGGACAAACAUCUAAUGCGGUCGCGGCUUCUCGCCGUCAAGAGCUAGAUCGAGCGCACGGCGGUGGUAACCGUCCAAAGGAAGAGGAAGAGCAACCUGCACCAGUUCGGCGGCCAUAGCCGUCCAAGAGGCAGUUGACCGCCGAGGCAUCUCUAGUUCUCAUACAGCGCGGGUUUGACGGCCACUCCAGGACCGGUCGUCCCAGCGAUAGGUGGAGGAGUUCAGCUAAAGGAGCCGGAGUACAGAGGAACAGGCCAAACAACUGAUGAACUUGUGACCUCAGUGUUUACACAAGGGAAUAAACAACUCACAAGCUGGCUGAGUUUCUUAUACAUGCAUUUCUCCUAGGUGAUAGCUGCGGAUCGUAGGUAUGAAAAAAGAUAGCUGCUGUCAAGAACUCCAAUGGCAUUGACAUAGCCAAGUUGAUGAAGCACUCGGCAGAGAACCGCGGGAUCAAGGGCUCCCACGGAGCCGAUGCCGUCGACCCGACCUCGCUGCUCACGGAAGAUUGCGACGUGCUCCUCCCGGCAGCUCUGGGAGGAGUGAUAAACAAGGACAAUGCUGAUGCCAUCAAAGCAGAGUACAUCAUCGAGGCUUCUAACCACCCAACAGACCCCGAGGCCGACGAGAUUCUGGCAAAGAAGGGCAUGCUGAUCCUACCGGACAUCUUGGCCAACUCCGGCGGAGUGGUGAGCUACUUCGAGUGGGUGCAGAACAUCCAGGGGUUCAUGUGGGACGAGGAGAAGGAGAGGCUGGCAUUUGACAAUACAAUUGUGUGUGUGCGUUGGCAGAUGCUGCUGCAGCCUGUAGUUUUUCUUGUGGAGUUGACCGUAGUAAUCCAUCAAACUAGCUGAAUUAUUGAUUCUGUUCCUUUUGUUGGGAGGUGAGGAAUCAUAUAGCUGGAUAUACAUACCCGUCCUCUGUUGUGGUAUGUUAGUAUAGCAUGUGGUUUUCCACUGGCUAGCAGCACCAACAUAAUACGCCGGGCCCUCCAAGACCAGUUUUACUGCAGACGACCUUUUGGUGGUCAGGAUCUAAUCUGUCGAUCGUGUCCGCGAACCUUGAAGGCGUUCUCACCGUCUUGCGAAUGGGUGGAUGAAGAGGAAGCAGUACCGUUGUAUCGCACAGGCUAGGUGGUGGUGGCACAGGCCAAGCGGCGGCGAGUCAGGCCCUGUUGACGUACGGUUGUUGCUGGGCGCUCCGAUUUUUAUUGUCCAGCUGUGCUAAUUCAUGUACCUGCGGGCGGUACCCAGGACGCCAAAUAAAUGAACAUUCCAACAUAAUCAUGUACGAGCCUGUUUAAACAAACUUACCGAUAUUCUUGGUUUUUAUUUCUA
Molecule: non-coding RNA, 1493 nt
Organism: Aegilops tauschii subsp. strangulata
Lineage: Eukaryota; Viridiplantae; Streptophyta; Magnoliopsida; Poales; Poaceae
Source: RefSeq, a predicted model, not a curated record